GAUGAACGCUGGCGGCGUGCCUAAUACAUGCAAGUCGAGCGAACGGACGAGAAGCUUGCUUUUCUGAUGUUAGCGGCGGACGGGAGAGUAACACGUGGAUAACCUACCUAUAAGACUGGGAUAACUUCGGGAAACCGGAGCUAAUACCGGAUAAUAUUUUGAACCGCAUGGUUCAAAAGUGAAAGACGGUCUUGCUGUCACUUAUAGAUGGAUCCGCGCUGCAUUGGCUAGUGGGUAAGGUAACGGCUUACCAAGGCGACGAUGGAUUGCCGACCGGACAGGGGGUAGGCCGCCUCUGGAGGUGAGCCACCGCCUUGGCUCUGACGGGAGGCAGCGGUACCGAAGGGUCCGCAAUGGGGGGAAGCUUGACGGAUCGGCGCCGCGCGGGUGAUGAAAGGCUUCGUGUCGUAAAACGCUGUUAUGGGUGAAGAACAUAUGUGUAAGGGGCUGAGCACAUCGUGACGGUACCUACUCAGAAAGCCCCGGCUAACUACGUG
RNAcentral lists this ribosomal RNA (497 nucleotides) under uncultured bacterium. RNAcentral's name for it is "partial 16S ribosomal RNA". It matches the Rfam family "Bacterial small subunit ribosomal RNA", at positions 28 to 507 of the family's 1533-position model. The record is from RNAcentral.